This 67-nucleotide transfer RNA is filed under the name Marmota monax (woodchuck). Its description in RNAcentral is "tRNA.Asp". Lineage: Eukaryota; Metazoa; Chordata; Mammalia; Rodentia; Sciuridae. The record is from RNAcentral.
GGUUAUGGCUCAGUGGUAGAGCACUUGCCUAUCUCAUGUGAGGCACUGGGUUCGAUUCUCAGCACCA